AGAGUUUGAUCAUGGCUCAGAAUCAACGCUGGCGGCGCGCUUAACACAUGCAAGUCGCACGAGAAAGCAGGAGCAAUCUUGUGAGUAAAGUGGCGUACGGGUGAGUAACACGUGGAUCAUCUACCUUCUAGUGGGGAAUACCUCUGGGAAACCGGAGAUAAUUCCGCAUAAGCUCGUGAGAGGAAAGCCGAAAGGCGCUGGAAGAGGAGUCCGCGGCUGAUUAGCUAGAUGGCGGGGUAACGGCCCACCAUGGCGAAGAUCGGUAGCCGGCCUGAGAGGGCACACGGCCACACUGGCACUGAAACACGGGCCAGACUCCUACGGGAGGCAGCAGUGGGGAAUCUUGCACAAUGGAGGCAACUCUGAUGCAGCGACGCCGCGUGAGCGAUGAAGCCCUUCGGGGUGUAAAGCUCUUUCGACGGGAAAGAUUAUGACGGUACCCGGAGAAGAAGCUGCGGCUAACUACGUGCCAGCAGCCGCGGUAAUACGUAGGCAGCGAGCGUUGUUCGGAAUUACUGGGCGUAAAGAGUGUGUAGGCGGUGUUCCAAGUCUGGUGUGAAAUCUCCCGGCUUAACUGGGAGGGUGCGCCGGAAACUGGAAUGCUCGAGGGUGGGAGAGGUAAGCGGAAUUCCUGGUGUAGCGGUGAAAUGCGUAGAUAUCAGGAGGAACACCUGUGGUGUAGACAGCUUACUGGACCACUUCUGACGCUGAGACACGAAAGCGUGGGUAGCAAACAGGAUUAGAUACCCUAGUAGUCC
This 758-nucleotide ribosomal RNA is filed under the name uncultured bacterium. Its description in RNAcentral is "bacterial SSU rRNA". It matches the Rfam family "Bacterial small subunit ribosomal RNA", at positions 8 to 796 of the family's 1533-position model. The record is from RNAcentral.